GGCAAGUGGCGGGCAGGGAGCGGCGGUAGGAGGUAGGUUGCGGAGGUUGGCCGGAAUUAUUGGGGGGAAAGGGUCCGUAGGCGGGUUGUCACGUGGGGAGUGAAAACGCGGGGCUCAACCCCGAGCCUGCUUCCGAGACGGGCAGACUAGAGGUAUGCAGGGGAGAACGGAAGUCCUGGUGUAGCGGUGAAAUGCGCAGAUAUCAGGAGGAACACCGGUGGCGAAGGCGGUUCUCUGGGCAUUACCUGACGCUGAGGAGCGAAAGUGUGGGGAGCGAACAGGAUUAAUACCCCAGUAGUC
RNAcentral lists this ribosomal RNA (300 nucleotides) under uncultured Thermotoga sp. RNAcentral's name for it is "bacterial SSU rRNA". The stretch from base 53 to 300 matches the Rfam family "Bacterial small subunit ribosomal RNA", at positions 547 to 795 of the family's 1533-position model. Lineage: Bacteria; Thermotogati; Thermotogota; Thermotogae; Thermotogales; Thermotogaceae. The record is from RNAcentral.